This is a long non-coding RNA of Daphnia magna, 468 nucleotides long. RefSeq lists it as uncharacterized. Lineage: Eukaryota; Metazoa; Arthropoda; Branchiopoda; Diplostraca; Daphniidae. The transcript has 2 exons. The record is from RefSeq and is a predicted model, not a curated record.
GUUUCAAGUUUGGUUUCACAGUGGGUGGCGCCUUGACCACUGCGUAUAUUUUCAAGACAUCUAGGGGAAAAAUAACUAACUUCGUAGAAUUUUUAUGGGUAUGUCAGCUGUCCCAUCAGCUGUUCUAUUUCUCGUGACUUCGGAGCUGAGGAUGGCUGCUGAUACGAAUGUCUCUGUUCUUGAAAUUUCACCACCGAUUCCGUGGGUUUUGAGCUAAAUCUUGUGAAUUCAAUCAAUGCAGAGUUGUUCAAGAUCUUUGGAAUGUACCUUAUGUACUAUGGUGGCCGCAGAAUCAAUCAGUCACUUGGUUCAAUCCAGGACUUGGUUUUUCAAAAGUCGUUAACAACCUUAAUUUGCAGAGAUCCUGGAGGUACCUGAUGUGUUGCAUUGGUUUUGGAGUUGCUCUGUGACGGAAUGGAAUGCCAUCAAUGUUAUGUUGUCAGUAUAAAUAAAACAUAUCCAGUAUCA